Molecule: long non-coding RNA, 2826 nt
Organism: Oncorhynchus tshawytscha (Chinook salmon)
Lineage: Eukaryota; Metazoa; Chordata; Actinopteri; Salmoniformes; Salmonidae
Source: Ensembl
GGGGGGGUGUACUAGUACAGUAAUAUAUACCAGUAUAGUCAGACAGACUAGUGUCCUGUCCAGGGGGUGUACUAGUACAGUAAUAUAUACCAGUAUAGUCAGACAGACUAGUGUCCUGUCCAGGGGGUGUACUAGUACAGUAAUAUAUACCAGUAUAGUCAGACAGACUAGUGUCCUGUCCAGGGGGUGUACUAGUACAGUAAUAUAUACCAGUAUAGUCAGACAGACUAGUGUCCUGUCCAGGGGGUGUACUAGUACAUUAAGUUGCCUCACUCUUCAGAAACAGGACACAGGCUCCUGCCCCUUGGUUCGCUCUGGCUUGGACAAGGCUUCCUUAUUUUGUCAGUAUGCUCACCGAGUAAGAUACUGCUCUAGAGAGAUACUACUCCUAUAAUCACUCUAUGGUGUGUGCUCCAAAUGGCACCCUAUUCUCUACAUAUUACACUACUUUUAACCACAGCCCUAUGGGCUCUGGUCAAUAGUAGUGCACUAUAUAGGGAAUAGGGUGCCUUACCUUUUGGGUCGCCUGCCUACAUCAGUGAUGAAUUAAUACAACCUUAGUUCUCCAGAGGGAUGAACAGUUCAUAGUUAACUAUGUGCUGAACGUAAUGAGUUGGCAGAUUACCUCAUCGUAUUAACAAGAGACCGGAAACAGAGUUGGAAACCAAUCAGGAACAUGCAUCAACACCUUUCUCCUCCAUUGCCAGCAGUAGGAUUAUGAAGAAACAAACAAAUGAAAAGAAAAUAAACAACAUAAUUCUCUACUUUUAAAUGAAAGGGAAUAUUCUAGGCUAGGGAAUAUUCUAGGCUAGGCUAGGGAAUAUUCUAGGCUAGGGAACAUUCUAGGCUAGGGAACAUUCUAGGCUAGGCUAGGGAAUAUUCUAGGCUAGGCUAGGGAACAUUCUAGGCUAGGCUAGGGAAUAUUCUAGGCUAGGCUAGGGAAUAUUCUAGGCUAGGCUAGGGAAUAUUCUAGGCUAGGCUAGGGAAUAUUUUAGGCUAGGCUAGGGAAUAUUCUAGGCUAGGCUAGGGAAUAUUCUAGGCUAGGCUAGGGAAUAUUCUAGGCUAGGGAAUAUUCUAGGCUAGGGAAUAUUCUAGGCUAGGGAAUAUUCUAGGCUAGGGAAUAUUCUAGGCUAGGGAAUAUUCUAGGCUAGGCUAGGGAAUAUUCUAGGCUAGGGAAUAUUCUAGGCUAGGCUAGGGAAUAUUCUAGGCUAGGGAAUAUUCUAGGCUAGGCUAGGGAAUAUUCUAGGCUAGGGAAUAUUCUAGGCUAGGCUAGGGAAUAUUCUAGGCUAGGCUAGGGAAUAUUCUAGGCUAGGCUAGGGAAUAUUCUAGGCUAGGGAAUAUUCUAGGCUAGGCUAGGGAAUAUUCUAGGCUAGGGAAUAUUCUAGGCUAGGGAAUAUUCUAGGCUAGGGAACAUUCUAGGCUAGGGAGCAUACUAGGCUAGGGAAUAUUCUAGGCUAGGGAACAUUCUAGGCUAGGGAACAUAAUAGGCUAGGGAACAUUCUAGACUAGGGAACAUUCUAGACUAGGGAACAUUCUAGACUAGGGAACAUUCUAGACUAGGGAACCUUCUUUCAGUUAGUUUAAGUUAUGUUCAUAUUCCAGAUGCACAACCAUCCCAUAGGUCAUGUGGAAUUAUACCGAUUGUAAAUGAUACCUACUGUAAAUGGUAAAUUGUACAUACUGUACUUUUUUAAAUUUUACCUUUAUUUUACCUUUAAUUAACUAGGCAAGUCAGUUAAGAACAAAUUCUUAUUUUCAAUGAGGGCCUAGGAACAGUGGGUUAACUGCCUGUUCAGGGGCAGAACGACAGAUUGUACUUUGUCAGCUCGGGGGUUUGAACUUGCAACCUUCCGGUUACUAGUCCAACGCUCUAACCACUAGGCUACCCUGCCGCCCCAUGAAAUGAUACCUACUGUAAAUGAUACAUACUGUAAAUGAUACCUACUGUACAUGAUACAUACUAUAAAUGAUACCUACUGUAAAUGGUACAUACUGUAAAUGGUACAUACUGUAAAUGGUACAUACUGUAAAUGGUACAUACUGUAAAUGAUACAUACGGCAGGCUUACACCAUGACUUCUCUGUUAAAGACAGUUAAUUGCUCUGAUUUGCCUCCAACACCUCUGCCCCUCAUCUCCUUGUCUCUUUCUAAAGGCCUGGGUUAGAAGGUUUCCCCUGCAGGUCAACUGUUGGUUGGUGAGCGAGGUAGUAGAGAUGUUACAGGGAAACAGAAACGUUGGGAGAAUAUUCAUCAGGUAGCUAAGCGCUGUCACAUGAAGUUUUAGCUGCUGUAUGGGCACCAGCCAUACUCUGGUGAAACCCAGAGAGAUGUGUUCCAGAGGGUCAUUGGGGAUCUAACAACAUAUUAGUUUGACAGGAGGGAAGGGGAUUGAUAUAGAUUUCUGUAAUGAAAAACUUUUGAGGAAUCUACAGUGGAGCUCAAUACCACACUAUUAGAUCCACUCAACUCCCAGCAGGGAGGAGAACAGAUGGAGAGAGUUGAUGUUUCUGUACUCUAUUAUCUGGAGACAAUCUCUUUAUGAUAUGACCUUUAGGCUUAUAGGGGAGGACAGGGGUGAGAGGGUCAAGCCUGAGAGACUGGUGCGCUACUCUACAUAAUACUGUAUACAUUGCCUUACUUGCUGUGUGGGGUCAUUUGGUGCAAAAGCAAUGUGAAGAGGGGAAUAGGACUAAACAGGAAAUUCAAUAUCCCUGCUGCUGGGAGGAGUUAGAAUGUGUUCCAUCUGAUACUACUGGGAGGAGUCAGAAUGUGUUCCAUCUGAUACUACUGGGAGGAGUCAGAAUGUGUUCCAUCUGAUACUACUGG